CAGCUUCUGGGAAACUAUCAUUUUUUUCACCUGCUGUACUGUGAUGUUUAACAAGAUUUGCCCAGAUUUGCCCUGGAACCUUGUUUUGUGUCUCUGCAGCUGAGUUGGCACUAUAUAAUGAAGUUUCUGGUAUUGCAUUUAGACCAGCGAUUCUCAGACUUUGGUCCUGUAUCUGUUUGGGUUUCAAUUUCUAGAUUUCCUGAUAAUUGACAAUACAGCCUGGACCUUUUGUGCCUUUGUUGUUUGAAAUCCCAUCGACUUUGCCUUGUUGUUUUGCUCAGUGGUCAAGCUGAUCUUGAAAUUGCCUGGCCAGGCUAAGGCAUGAGUGAUUCCUCCAUCUGGUCAGUGAAUAUCUGGUUCCAGAAAUGAUUGACCUUGGCAGCACUUCAUCUAACUCUGCUAUUUUGCUACUUGGAUGAUUUCCUUUUAUGCUUUCCUUCUAGGUAAGCUACUUCCAUAUUUGGCUGCUAGCCAUUCUAACCCAGUUACAGCUUUUCCAUCUGGUUUACUCUUGGAAACAUCAACUGAUGCUGCUACUUCAUUAUAAUUCUUUCACUCUCAGUUCAGUUACCAAAUAGCAUCCAUUCGCUGAGCACUGACAUAAUCCUUAAAUAAUAGAGAGGCUGCAUUUUGUGAUAGAUCCUCUUGUGUUUCAUCAUAGUAGCUUUCAGUAAUAUUUUCCUUUUUUAAAAAAGAUCACUGUCAAUCAUAUUUUGCCCAUGUUUUUAUUCCUUUAUAUUCCAUCACAAUGUUAUUUACAUACACAACAGAAACUCCUAAUCUAUACUGUAAUUCACAGACACAGAAUUUCUACAUCUGAUUUGUGCCCUCCUGGUGUUUUAGACUACAGCUGCCACCAUGUGCGAAAAUUGGCCUGGUGUUGUGGGAUAAGGAAAGUCAAAGUCCAAAACAUAACACACCAAACCCAUGGGGUGAGGUGGACAGCACUAAACACAUUUUCAAGAUAGUUAUAAAAUGUCUAGCAGCAUAUAUUUGAGUUGUUGUGAUGGUUUAUCAUGUCUGUAAAUGCUUUGUGGUUUAGUGUCACCAAUAUGCUAAUUAUAUAACACUCUGUCUCAGUAAUCAAGUAGAGUUGUCUCAGUACUGGACCAAUAUCUGUUGUCAGUAAUAGACUGGGUAUGAGCAAACAAACUGAAACCUAA
Long non-coding RNA from Anolis carolinensis (green anole), 1163 nucleotides. RefSeq lists it as uncharacterized. Lineage: Eukaryota; Metazoa; Chordata; Lepidosauria; Squamata; Anolidae. The transcript is spliced from 3 exons. The record is from RefSeq and is a predicted model, not a curated record.